RNAcentral lists this ribosomal RNA (253 nucleotides) under uncultured bacterium. RNAcentral's name for it is "partial 16S ribosomal RNA". It matches the Rfam family "Bacterial small subunit ribosomal RNA", at positions 524 to 776 of the family's 1533-position model. The record is from RNAcentral.
UACGGAGGGCGCAAGCGUUGCUCGGAAUCACUGGGCGUAAAGCGCGCGCAGGCGGCCGAGUAAGUCGGUUGUGAAAGCCCCAGGCUCAACCCGGGAACGGCACUCGAAACUGAUCGGCUUGAGUCCCGGAGAGGGGGGCGGAACUCCCAGUGUAGGGGUGAAAUGCGUAGAUAUUGGGAAGAACACCGGCGGCGAAAGCGGCCUCCUGGACGGGGACUGACGCUGAGACGCGAAAGCGUGGGGAGCAAACAGG